AGAGCCUGGCACCUCACUCCUGUCUGUGAGAUCCUCUCACACCGUGCGAUCUCUACACAUGCCAUCUCCUCUUCAUCUUCCACCGUGAGUGGAAACAGCCUGAGACUCUCACCAGAUGUAGGUGCUGAGGCCAUGCUUCCUGUACAGUCUGCUGAACUAUGAGCCAAACAAACCUCUUUUCUUUAUAAUUUACCCAGCCUCAGGUAUUCCUACACAGCAACACAAAACAGACUAACACAGAUAACUGUAAGUUUCAUCACUGUUGCUGAAUUUGCUUGGCUUAAGUCAUGAGAAGCCAGAAUCUGAAUGGCAGAGAGCUCAAAGUCAACAUGUAGUCAGAGUGGAUACAGUCAUUCACUGGAGGAAGAAGGGUUAAUGAAUAGAAGAAAAGCGUGACAAUGGUACAUCCUAGACAGACAACACUCCCUGGCAGCAUGGUGGGUUGGAUCUAUGAAUAAAAC
Molecule: long non-coding RNA, 461 nt
Filed under: Rhinopithecus bieti (black snub-nosed monkey)
Lineage: Eukaryota; Metazoa; Chordata; Mammalia; Primates; Cercopithecidae
Description: lncRNA (ENSRBIG00000046470.1)
Source: RNAcentral